RNAcentral lists this ribosomal RNA (257 nucleotides) under uncultured bacterium. RNAcentral's name for it is "partial 16S ribosomal RNA". It matches the Rfam family "Bacterial small subunit ribosomal RNA", at positions 57 to 305 of the family's 1533-position model. The record is from RNAcentral.
GCAAGUCGAGGGGCAGCAUUAUUUUAGCUUGCUAAAAUAGAUGGCGACCGGCGCACGGGUGAGUAACGCGUAUGCAACCUACCUCUUACAGGGGAAUAGCCCGAAGAAAUUCGGAUUAAUGCCCCAUGGUUCUGUAAUCUCCCAUGAGAUAUCAGAUAAAGUUCCGGCGGUAAGAGAUGGGCAUGCGUUCCAUUAGUUAGUUGGUAAGGUAACGGCUUACCAAGGCAUCGAUGGAUAGGGGUUCUGAGAGGAUAGUC